RNAcentral lists this long non-coding RNA (234 nucleotides) under Carica papaya (papaya). RNAcentral describes it as "long non-coding RNA (CPAP_LNC015012)". Lineage: Eukaryota; Viridiplantae; Streptophyta; Magnoliopsida; Brassicales; Caricaceae. The record is from RNAcentral.
AAUAAUAACAACCUAACAAUAAUUAAAUAGUAUAGAUAAAAUAAGCAAUUUCGUGGGGUUAGGUGCGGCUAGGGUUAGGGUUUCUUGGGAAGCGAUGUUUAAAUGCCCUCUCUGUGUCGAUCUGGGCCAUCCGUAUAGGGACACAUGAUCCACUCCAAGCCAUCGGAUCACUCUUAUUUAGGGAACUAAUUUGGGCUGCAUGAUCGGAUUAAAUCUUGCUGUUUGAUUGCGCCU